GACGAACGCUGGCGGCGUGCUUAAUACAUGCAAGUCGAACGGAAAGGCCCUGCUUUUGCGGGGUGCUCGAGUGGCGAACGGGUGAGUAACACGUGAGUAACCUGCCCUUGACUUUGGGAUAACUUCAGGAAACUGGGGCUAAUACCGGAUAGGAUCUCCUGCUGCACGGUGGGGGAUGGAAAGUUUCGGCGGUUUGGGAUGGAAUCGCGGCUUAUCAGCUUGUUGGUGGGGUAGUGGCUUACCAAGGCUUCGACGGAUAGCCCGCAUGGGAGGGUGGACAGCCACAAUGCGCCUGCGGUACGCCCCAGACUGCAACGGGAGGCAGCAGUCGGGAAUCUUGCGCAGUAGGCCCACGCCUGAUGUAGAAGCGCCGCGUGCGGAAUGCCGUCCUACGGGUUGUAAACAGAUGUCGCAUGUACCGAAGCGUGCGUGACGGUAAUGGGUAAGAAAGCCCCGGCUAACUACGUG
RNAcentral lists this ribosomal RNA (468 nucleotides) under uncultured bacterium. Its description in RNAcentral is "partial 16S ribosomal RNA". It matches the Rfam family "Bacterial small subunit ribosomal RNA", at positions 28 to 507 of the family's 1533-position model. The record is from RNAcentral.